CAGGCAUGUGCCCUUACUAGGAAUCAAACUGGAGACCUUUCAGUUGUGGAGCUAUGCCCAACCCACUGAGCCACACCAGUCAGGGCUGCAAUUUCUUUAUUUUAUCCAACAAUAUGUCUUGAAGGCAAUUCUAUGUCAGCAUUAAAAAAAAUCUCUUUAUUUUAGCUAUAUAGUAUUCCAGCGUGGAGGACUUUUUUUCUUUUUUGUGCCAGAACCUGGCUUUUCCUUGGGAAGCCACCUCCCACAUUUUUUAUGCGGCUGAUCACCUCACCUUCUCCAUUCAGGAGGAGGACUGUGAUCCGCAUUGGGUCAAUUAGUAUCACAGGAGUGUUCAGGGGUGGAAGUGUGCCUCUGUCUGGGCAGUGAAAGUCACCUCUGAGAGUUUUGCUGUUUGCUAAGCUGAUGGUGUCCCAGGUCUCCUCAUGUCUAAUCCUGUGAGCCUGAAAAGUCCCAGGAACCGUUCCAUCAUUUGCAGUAGUCUUCACCAGAGAGUACUCUGGGAUUCGGUUUUACCUCACAAUCUGUUUCUAUAUGUCUCCCAUAUUUUAAGGAUUUUAAAAAAUCAUUACUGGCUCACAAAGAACAUUACAUUUUGCUUUUCAAGUCAGUUUUAGAUUUUUAUAAACCUCUAUUACAUCUGUUACAUAAUAACUGGCACUUUGCCUUGUGAUUAUCUUUGUUCUUACCUACCUUCGGACUGGACUCUUUAUGAAUAAACAAUGACUAAUUCACUUGUCUGUCUGGCAGUCGGUAGUCACUCAUAAAUACUUGUUGAAUAACUGGUUAAAUAAAAAGCUGACCUUACAUUCACCUUCCCUGGAUGGUUCAAGAGAUUCUAAUGCUUUUCAAAGUACAAAGUCUUUGUACCACCUUGUGAUGGAUUAAAUUAUCGUUCGGCAAAUAUCGACUCCUCUCGCCAGGUUCCACGAACACAGGACAUGUCCCUUCCAGUCACUUUUGCCUUUGUCAGGUUCCUUCCUUUGGCCAACGGGAUAUCAGUGGACCAGGUAUGAGCAGAGGUUUGGCAUCUGCUUGGGUGGUAGGGUUUACUAUCUCACACUCCUGCUUUUUACCACAGGAAGAACCUGCCUAAGGCAGAUGUUAGUUCAAGGAGGAUGAGAAGCAUGUGCAGCAGAACCAGACCAACAGGAUGGAGCCUAGACCAGCCUAGAUAAGCGGUACUUUGGCUUACCUGCAGAUGUGUGAGUGACAAGUGCUCCUCAGUGGCCGCAAAGGACAAGAGCAAGCUGCUGAUCAAUGUCUCCACACAAACCAACAUGAGAGCUGCUGUCAGGAUUUAAAUACCUUCCCUGGGUCCCAGUGCACAUGUGGGAACCCUGAGAAAGGCUUUUUCAACCUCCAAAAGAGUUCUGCAUCAAGUCUCAUGGGACUUAAUUAAAAUAAUCAGUUUUCACA
Phyllostomus discolor (pale spear-nosed bat) is the source of this 1416-nucleotide long non-coding RNA. RefSeq lists it as uncharacterized. The record is from RefSeq and is a predicted model, not a curated record. The transcript has 2 exons. NCBI's taxonomy places the organism in Eukaryota, Metazoa, Chordata, Mammalia, Chiroptera, Phyllostomidae.